UUGGACAUGCAUCGUUUUUUUGACUAAAAAUUUUCCAACUCUUACUUUCAAUUUUGAAAAUCCCUUGUAUUAUCUUCAUCAAUCUUUGAUUUUUACCUCUAUAUAUGAUUGUUUCUCCUCUGAUUCUGUUUAUUUCAUCUUCAUUUUCUCUGUCACUCUGUCACCUAACACCAUCUAUGAUCUGUUCACUUUUUUGUUUUCCCUAGGCUUUGCCAUUGCAAAUCACAAAUCACAAUUCACUACCUUUGCUCUACAUACUCAUAACACCAUUCACCAUGUCCUAGAAGCUUAAGGCUGCGUUUCGGGGGGCUUUUUAGCUCCCCUGCUUAUAAGCACAAGACCCAAUUGUGUUCGGUAACCCAGCUUCUUGUCUGCUUUUUCCAGAAGCCACUGCGCCUCACCCCUGCUUUUAAAAGCCGAAGAAGCAGAAGCCAGUUUACAAGUGUAGCGCUGAGUUAAUGAAUCUUUUGAAAUACCAAUGGGUACCCUCAUGGAUUAAGAGUUAUUACGGCCCAAUAACGCUGCUCUUCCAUUCGCGUCUUCUUCCUCAUCUCUGCCGCUCUCCUUCAUAGAUGUCGAUCAAAACCCGAGGAUGGUUGUCGGAGUAAGUAGAGAAGGAAGCAAAACCCGAGAAAAAGGAUUAGUAGUGGUUCAGAAUCUGAGAAGGAAGACUGGAAGAGAGAGACGCGAUGGACUGACGUCAUUUUGAUUUUCUGGUUGAGUGUUUUUGAUCAUGUCUUGGUGCACGAUUGAGUCCGACCCAGGGCUUAUUUAGCAGAUGCAAGUAAAAGGUGUGCAGCUCUUGCCGGUCUUGGUGAUUUACUUGAAUAGUGAAGAUGGUGGCAAGCAUUGAGGCUGCGAAUGGAUUGGGAAUUAUGCACUCUGUUCAGAAUUUCAAUGAUUUGGGACUGCAUUGGCGAAAAUUUAAUAAGCACGAUGCUCUUGAAGUUUAUGUUUAAUAUAACAAUAUAUACAUGAGUUGGUUAUUUUUAGCGUAUGCUUCAUAUGAUAAUCUUUGACAGGUUAGGUCUAAUGGUUGUGGGAGGCCUAAUCUUGGCAUCUUUCAUGACAUAUGCGUCGGAGCACCUUGCAACUAGAUCAUUCUUGAGAGGCCUUGAAGACCGAGAUGCUACGAGAAGUAGGAGCUUUUGUUAGAUAAGUUCACUGGUGACAAAACUGAGCAUGUAAAACUAUUGACCAAAAGACCAAGUAUGUCCUGUAAGCAGUGUUUGAUGCUUCUGUUGUAAUCUGUUUCACAUGGAACGCCUAGAUGAAUUUGUAAAUUAUUGCCAGAAAAUCUGUUGAUAAGUUCUUUUUCUCCAGGAAAUUUUGUUGUAACAUUGUUACGGAAACUAUUAAUAAUAUUGUUAACAUUCUUUUGCACAA
Molecule: long non-coding RNA, 1386 nt
Organism: Rosa rugosa (rugosa rose)
Lineage: Eukaryota; Viridiplantae; Streptophyta; Magnoliopsida; Rosales; Rosaceae
Exons: 5
Source: RefSeq, a predicted model, not a curated record